RNAcentral lists this ribosomal RNA (440 nucleotides) under uncultured bacterium. RNAcentral's name for it is "partial 16S ribosomal RNA". It matches the Rfam family "Bacterial small subunit ribosomal RNA", at positions 338 to 795 of the family's 1533-position model. The record is from RNAcentral.
CCUACGGGAGGCAGCAGUGGGGAAUAUUGCACAAUGGGGGAAACCCUGAUGCAGCGACGCCGCGUGAGUGAAGAAGUAUUUCGGUACGUAAAGCUCUAUCAGCAGGGAAGAAAAUGACGGUACCUGACUAAGAAGCCCCGGCUAACUACGUGACAGCAGCCGCGGUAAUACGUAGGGGGCAAGCGUUAUCCGGAUUUACUGGGUGGAAAGGGAGCGUAGACGGCAGCGCAAGUCUGGAGUGAAAUCCCAUGGCUUAACCAUGGAACUGCUUUGGAAACUGUGCAGCUGGAGUGCAGGAGAGGUAAGCGGAAUUCCUAGUGUAGCGGUGAAAUGCGUAGAUAUUAGGAGGAACACCAGUGGCGAAGGCGGCCUGCUGGACGGUGACUGACGCUGAGGCUCGAAAGCGUGGGGAGCAAACAGGAUUAGAUACCCCUGUAGUC